This 498-nucleotide ribosomal RNA is filed under the name uncultured bacterium. RNAcentral's name for it is "partial 16S ribosomal RNA". It matches the Rfam family "Bacterial small subunit ribosomal RNA", at positions 30 to 523 of the family's 1533-position model. The record is from RNAcentral.
AUUGAACGCUGGCGGCAUGCCUUACACAUGCAAGUCGAACGGUAACAGGUCUUCGGAUGCUGACGAGUGGCGAACGGGUGAGUAAUACAUCGGAACGUGCCUAGUAGUGGGGGAUAACUACUCGAAAGAGUGGCUAAUACCGCAUGAGAUCUACGGAUGAAAGCAGGGGAUCGCAAGACCUUGUGCUACCAGAGCGGCCGAUGGCAGAUUAGGUAGUUGGUGGGAUAAAAGCUUACCAAGCCGACGAUCUGUAGCUGGUCUGAGAGGACGAUCAUCCACACUGGGACUGAGACACGGCCCAGACUCCUACGGGAGGCAGCAGAGGGGAAUUUUGGACAAUGGGCGCAAGCCUGAUCCAGCAAUGCCGCGUGCAGGAUGAAGGCCUUCGGGUCGUAAACUGCUUUUGUACGGAACGAAAAGCCCCGGGUUAAUACCCUGGGGUCAUGACGGUACCGUAAGAAUAAGCACCGGCUAACUACGUGCCAGCCGCCGCAGUAA